Molecule: ribosomal RNA, 253 nt
Filed under: uncultured bacterium
Lineage: Bacteria
Description: partial 16S ribosomal RNA
Rfam family: Bacterial small subunit ribosomal RNA
Source: RNAcentral
UCCGUAGGUGACAAGCGUUGUCCGGAUUUACUGGGCGUAAAGAGCGCGCAGGCGGUCGAUCAAGUCGAGUGUGAAAGCCCCCGGCUCAACUGGGGAGGGUCAUUCGAUACUGAUCGACUCGAAGGCAGGAGAGGGUAGUGGAAUUCCCGGUGUAGUGGUGAAAUGCGUAGAUAUCGGGAGGAACACCAGUGGCGAAGGCGACUACCUGGCCUGUUCUUGACGCUGAGGCGCGAAAGCUAGGGGAGCAAACGGG